UGGGGAAUUUUGGACAAUGGGCGAAAGCCUGAUCCAGCAAUGCCGCGUGUGUGAAGAAGGCCUUCGGGUUGUAAAGCACUUUUGUCCGGAAAGAAAUCCUUGGCUCUAAUACAGUCGGGGGAUGACGGUACCGGAAGAAUAAGCACCGGCUAACUACGUGCCAGCAGCCGCGGUAAUACGUAGGGUGCAAGCGUUAAUCGGAAUUACUGGGCGUAAAGCGUGCGCAGGCGGUUUGCUAAGACCGAUGUGAAAUCCCCGGGCUCAACCUGGGAACUGCAUUGGUGACUGGCAGGCUAGAGUAUGGCAGAGGGGGGUAGAAUUCCACGUGUAGCAGUGAAAUGCGUAGAGAUGUGGAGGAAUACCGAUGGCGAAGGCAGCCCCCUGGGCCAAUACUGACGCUCACGCACGAAAGCGUGGGGAGCAAACAGGAUUAGAUACCCUGGUAGUCCACGCCCUAAACGAUGUCAACUAGUUGUUGGGGAAUUCAUUUCCUUAGUAACGUAGCUAACGCGUGAAGUUGACCGCCUGGGGAGUACGGUCGCAAGAUUAAAACUCAAAUGAAUUGACGGGGUC
Molecule: ribosomal RNA, 573 nt
Filed under: uncultured bacterium
Lineage: Bacteria
Description: partial 16S ribosomal RNA
Rfam family: Bacterial small subunit ribosomal RNA
Source: RNAcentral